AUGGAAUCCGGCGGCGGCGCCCGCGUACGGCGGCAGCUCCAAGCCGUGGGACGUGUCGCGGGGUACCUCGGCGGCGGCUUGCUCCUCCUCUCCACAGCAUCCACCGCCGCCGUUCGCUCCCUCCGCUUCCUCUCCGAUACCAACCAGAGAAAAUUCGCGAUGCAGUGUGGUGCCUGCGAGGGGAAGGGAACCUACGGGUGCAGGCUCUGCAGGGGUAGCGCCACGGUCGAAUGGUCUCGGCUCUACGACCCGGUGUUCGUUAACCCGUGUCUCUGCCCUACUUGUGAUGGUACCAGGGUACAGCGCUGCUUGAAUUGCAUGGGCAAAGGCUAUGCAUGA
RNAcentral lists this ribosomal RNA (339 nucleotides) under Triticum aestivum (bread wheat). RNAcentral describes it as "partial small subunit ribosomal RNA". Lineage: Eukaryota; Viridiplantae; Streptophyta; Magnoliopsida; Poales; Poaceae. The record is from RNAcentral.